UUGGCCCGCAUCUGAGAGGCCGCUUCAUUAUUCAGGCCGUGGUCCGAUGACGGUGGGACCAGAGAUUCCAGAGAGGGGCCCUCAGCCUCCAGGAGCCAGCCUCUUCCCCCGGGGAUGGAGCUGAGCACGCACGGCCGCAGUCGGCAGUGUGGAACCAGAGAUUCGUGGCUGCUGUGAGUAGGUGCUUCUGACGGGGAAAGAAGGACAAGAUGAGAGAUGACAAAAUGGAGGCUUUCAGAGAUGAAGCCCUGGUGACAGUCACAACCAGUGUCCUUUGAGAGCCCACUUCAAAGCCCGGGCUUCCUCUUGCCCACUUGCUCGAAGAGACCCGACCUUUUCCUUCCAAGCCUGUAGGCUGUCUGGGAGACCUCUCCAAGCCAGCCGCAUCCCGCUUCGGAGCAGGCCCGUUCCGUUGUUACAGACUCUCCACUAAGAUGCCCUCUUCCCUAAGCCUGUGGGGAGCCAGACAAGGCCUGGAAGGAAGGACCGAUACAGGGCUGUUCUUCCUCGCCCACGCUUCCCACCAGGAACUUCUGUGGAGCCAGAGUUUGCCGCCAGAACCCCCACAGGACCUGGGUGAAACAGGACCAUCUCUUAAGAGGCAAGAGCUCUUGAUUUGAUUGAGGAUUCUUAUUUUGGAGAACAAAGCAACUUCCAGAUUUGAGAAGACCUGCAGUUGAAGAAGACACCAUUGUCCCGGAUCCCUUGUUCUUCCUUCGCGUGGGAAAUGUUUCUUGGCGGGUGCCUGGUCUUAAGACUCCCCCACACCGGCCCCAGGGAAGCCAAGGACUUUCUGCCACACCCUUCCUCGCCCCCCACCUCCCACGUCCGCUGUGCCUUUGGACUCGGCAAUUCUUCUUGUUUGCUCCAUUAUCUUCCAGCCGGAUACAGAGUGAAUAGUUAACUACCCGCAGGUCAAUGGGGUCUUAAUUUUUGUUCCUGCUCCCUCUACAGAGGCCAGUGUCUGUGUGUUGCUAUGCAAGCGGCCUUGGAAUUGCAUCCCUUCUCAUUGAUUUGGGAUCUGGCCCCCGCAGGUUCCAGAGCAAUGUGGGUCCAGGCAGAAAUUCUUCAGGCUCUCAGGAUGUUGGAGGGGGCGCUGGCCGCGAGCUGGACCAUGAAGGCUGGCGUUCCCCACAUUCAGCUUUCUUGGGUUCGGAUCAUAAGCAGGUGUAGAUCUGGAGAAGCAGAAAAUGAACACAUUUUCUACUGACACCGAUGCACGGUCAGCGGUGAAGACCUUCUCCCAGCUAGCAUUUGGGUUCUGUGUCCAAACGCGGCGCUUCAUGGCAGAGUAUCCAGCCACCAGAGUUGGUGUGUCUUGAGGACCUGAAUUCUUGAGUGUGUGCUGGUGACACAGCCCUCUGACAGUCGAUGGGGCCUCACAAAACACAAGUCCUGCCUUUUCCUUUUCACUCUGUGGCCGUCAUACAUACGGCUAAAAACAUUUCCUAGAGAUCAGUCAUGGUUCAGUCGUGUCCAAAACGCAGAGCCAAAGAUGCAUUUUCUCUUUUCACAGCAAAUGAAUGACUUGCCUUCGGAAAAAGAAUGGAAGCCAGACAUUCUGCAUCUUUCCCGUGUUGUAGAUGAUGCAUUUGGAUGACCACUUUGUGACUCUGGUGUCUUAGAAGGGAAGCAGUGGGGUCCUUGGCAUCUCAGAUUCACCACAAAACAGACGAGGAGAACUUCUGGCGGAUGGUUUGUGCUUUUGAAAUGGGAGGCUUGUUUGUGGGCUUUUACCUUCCUUCCUUGACCUGCAGACACCUCAUUGCAUUAGAUUCCUUUGGGUUUUAAGAAGCAGAGACUUGCUGAUACUGCUCCGUACGUGCUGGUUUGUUUCGAGUUGCCAUGGACGUAAAGUAGAAAGGAAGCAGCCCGCCGAGGCGCUCUCCACCUAGGCCUGCCCAAGAAGCCCAAGUCGUUCCAGAUAGCCAGGGAUAGCAGAACCGAACCACCCUGGCCAUCUUGAUCUUCUGUUUGCACCAGCAUCCACUGUUCCCAGGAUCCUACCAUGGUGAUGAGCUGAGGGUGACUCAGUUGGCCCAGGACUGAGGAGUUUCCUGGGAUGCAGGACUUUUUAGUGCUAAACCUAGGACAGUCCUAAGCAAACUGGAACAACCAGUCACCCUACUGGGUGACUCGAGGACCCUGCCUCUCUUCUGCUUUCCCUGCUGUGACUGGCUGAUGCUCUUGAUGGGUCUGGCCAGUCGCCAUUCAAAACUCUUGCGUCAGGCAACUUCAUUGGCCACUGGGCUACCUAUAGAUGGGUGCCCUUGGACCCAGCACCAACCCAUCUUGACCAGAUUUGUUGUUUCCAGGGUCAUAGGGUUGCAUAAUCUAGAAUAAAAGCCUGGCUGUAAACAACCAGCUGAGACCACUUCCUUCAGAAGACUGCUGUGGACAGGUGGCCCUGGCAGGCAUUCAAGGUAAAAUGAGUGAGUCAGGCCACACGCUUCCCAAAGCCUCUGCCAGCGCUGCCAUCCACAGGGCUGCCAUAUUGGAUGCAGUUCAUGACAAAGGAUUUGCUACUUUUUGUUCUCUCUGGCUCUCCUCCUGCCUUCCCUUCAGCUUGCUCCAAGAUCAUGUGGACACACACCUCAGCAACCUCUGCCCCUCUGACCUCAUCCAAGUCACUGGCCUUGGGAGGCAGCCCAGGUGUUUCGAUUGGGCCAACUGCUGACAUUCCCUGCUGGUGACAACUUCUCCUCGAAGGUAUGUGUGGAAGGUGAGAUUUACAGAGGCUGUCGGUCAGGUGACGCGAGAGGAAGAGGGGGCCGUGGUUCAGCGUCCGCAUCUCCCCCGACUCAACCCUCGGAACAGACCAUGGCUGCUUCCUGGGGCACCACUGUGAGACAGGGGUGGGGGAGUGUCUUGGAAAAGAUUUGCUGCAUUGAAAAAAAAGUACUAAAAAGAAAGCCUCUUAGGCCAUGUAGCUUUGGGGUAAGGAAGAGGUGGAGACCUCGCCAGAGUAAGCCUCCGAAGCUUCCUGUUUUCAGGCAAGCGGGAAGCAUAGUGCAAACAUCCUUCUUCAUUUAUGCUCUUUGUUCUUGCUCAGCCAGUGUGCUGUUCGACAGGGUGGCCUUUCAGACGCAUGCUCCCGUCUGCAUUAUCUGCUUCAGAUCAAAAGAGAAAAUGCAUGAGAAUGUGCUCAGAAGGCCUGGUUCCCGCACACAUGCCAGUUAUAAUCAUAAUCAUAAAUGCUCGGGCUGGGACCUCUUGGGGACUCUAGGCUUGUGUGUCCCUCCCUGAGCUCCGUCCGUCUCCUCCCUGGAGAGCUCAGGCCAGCCCGCACUUACUGCAUGUUAAUUGCCAGGCUUCCGUAAGCCUUGGGGGGACUUUCACCCCAGUGGAACCUGAACGAACUAAGUUAGAGAAUGAGGGUUUCCUUUUCUCCCCGAGAGCACGGGGACCAAAGAAUUCAUUCAUUCCAUGCCUUUGCAAAUUCUCUUUGAGCAGCUACUGCUCCCGCCCUCCCCGUCCCCCGCCGCAAGGUCUAUCCGUCCACUAUCAUGUUUCUCCACUUACCCAGGACAGUUCCCCGUUUGCACUGGUUUUCCCAGCGUAGUUACUCAUAGCACAUGUCCAUUUUCAAGAGUGCUCCCGUUGAGAUGAUAAGUUCUGUGGUCUCAAGAUCUGUGAUGCUUCUGGGCAACCAUGAAAAAAAAGUCAGGGAUCUUUUCUAGGUACCAGGACAGGGCACCCAAAUGCUGAUGAUUGAACCAGUUUGGCUCUUUGCUGAUCAUGGCGAUUGGAGGCAGGGGGAUCGGGGAACCGUUGUGUUAGGUCUCCUGGACAACCCUCCAGGGGAUGGAAUGUGCUGGACUAGUAGGUGACCAGAGGUGCGUGGGAGUGGCCUUUGUGCGGUCUCGGUAUUGUCACGGGGUGAAAAAUUAGCCCCCGCUUUUAAAUGCGAUCAGGGAGACGCUCGAUUCAAGUCAAGGUCUUCGUGAGGGAACUGGGCUUUGGGAAUACGGCAGAGUUGAGUGAAAAUAAGCAGCAGCCUCUGAGCCUCUUUGUGGCAAUAUGUUACCAUACGUCCAGUGGGCGGAUGGUCAGGAACAUGUGUCAUUUGUUUAGAAUUCGGCACAUUAGGAGGUGUAUUUGCAUGUGCUCUGACUCAGGGCUCCUGGCAAUGGGAGGCAUGGAGGAAAGGAAUGAUCAACCUCUCUUUAAAAAAAUUUCUUUUCUUUUUCUUUUCAUCUUUUUAGGGCUGGGCAUGUGGCAAAUUCCCAGGCUAGGGGUCGAAUUGGAGCUGUCGCUGCCGGCCUAUGCCGCAGCCACAGCCACAGCCACGCCAGAUCUGAGCCACAACUGCAACCUAGACCACAGCUCACGGCAACACCGGAUCCUUAACCCACUGAGCGAGGCCAGGGAUCGAACCCGCGUCCUCAUGGAUAUUAGGUUGGUGACCGCUGAGCCACCAUGGAACUCCUCACUUUUUUUUUUUUUUCUUAAUUAAAAAAAAAGCAAGGAAACUUUUCCAAAGUUGUCCAGCUAAAGGGUGGCAGAAUCCUGUCUUGAUGAGCUCACUCAAGUCUAUUAGUCUUCCUACCUUAUUUAUUAUCAUGGAGAUCAUAUCAGAAGACAGGCCAGAGCCUUUUGCAUUCCAGAAAUAGGUGUUUUGAUGCUCGCCAAAGGCAGAGCUGGCUCCAGAGGAACAAGCUUAGGGUUCUAUGAGAGCAGUUUAUACACUAUUUAUACAGAGAGCAGCCCCAUCAGAGAGGCUGCUACGAAUUGGGCAGUGGUGACGGAGCUGUUUCCAGAGCUCUGGGGCUCCAAGGGGAUCAAGCCAGCCCAUCUCCCUUUACAACUGGCAGGCCUUCCUGCCCAGAGGAGAAACAGGGGCAGGAGCCCAGCCCUGCACCCAGGGACCAGAGGAGUGGGCCAGGCCCGGGCUCCCGCUACGUGAUUGCGAACAUGUGAAGCCAGGGUGAUUGAACUGCGGGUGACCCCGCGCAGCAAGGAGGCUAAUUAGAGCUUCUCUUCCCCACACUUCAGUCACAAGCCCCCCUCCUGCCCUUCCUCCUGAUGGUGCGGCUGAUAAGGAGGGAUUGAAUUUAUGAAAAGCGAUGAAGAUGUUUGGAUAAGCCUCGGGACCAAGGCGAGCCAGCCGGACGAGUCCGGGCCUGACGGAGGCAGCGGGGUUGUCUGGCAGCGGCGGAAGGGGCCGGCGAGGCCAGGCCGGAGGAAGGGGGGGAAACGAGCCCUGAACGUGACGCCCACGGGCGUGGCCCGGGGGCUGCUCCCCUGGGCCGUCACGGUGGAAAGGGGCUUGCUGAAAGCUGGCUCUGCGGGGAGAUUGUCAGCUUGCCCCAUGUCGCCUGGCAGCCCGCAGCUCCUGCCUGGACCCAGGGAGAGCCUGUGUGAGCAGAAGAAACCAGAGGACCGAGGCUGAUGAGUAACCAAAGGGUGGGAGCCUAGAAAACGGCUCAUCCCUUCCAGAGGUGAAGGUCAGACUGGGAAGAAUAAGGAAGGGGAAAACGUGCACCAAGCACCGGGCAGAGGGCACUGUAUGUCGUAUCCCACUUGGUCCUUUUCUGUGAGUGUCAUGCCUACCGCAUGCAUGGAAUAAGUAAAGCUCAGAGAGGGUCCGUAACUUCCCCAAGGCCACACAGCCAAUAUGUGACGAAUCGAGGCAUCAAAACCAAGUUGUGAAUUAAAAAAAAAAAAAAAA
Molecule: long non-coding RNA, 5671 nt
Filed under: Sus scrofa (pig)
Lineage: Eukaryota; Metazoa; Chordata; Mammalia; Artiodactyla; Suidae
Description: lncRNA (ENSSSCG00040008197.1)
Source: RNAcentral